This 279-nucleotide long non-coding RNA is filed under the name Vombatus ursinus (common wombat). RNAcentral's name for it is "lncRNA (ENSVURG00010011714.1)". The record is from RNAcentral. Lineage: Eukaryota; Metazoa; Chordata; Mammalia; Diprotodontia; Vombatidae.
AUGGUGAGGAAUUUUUCAGCUUUAGCAACACUGGAAGACUGUCUCUACCCAAAUUAUAGGAGGAUAUCUUUGCUGCUGUACAGAGCUUCUACACCAAUAAGACCUCAAAUGCAGGAAAAAUGGGACGUGACAGCCUCAACUCUGGAGGUGCUGCUAGGCCUGAGACCCAGCCAAGUUCUUGCUCUACCCCAGGGGAAGUUCUUUGUAAAUAGGUACUAUAUGAAUCAGCCAGGACUGGGUCUAGCUAAAACUGAGAAGUCAGUGAAAUUUUGUAUUUGA